CGGGGAGUAGCUCAGGGGCUAGAGCACUCGCUUGGGGUGCGAGGGGCCGCAGGUUCAAGUCCUGUCUCCCCGACCA
This 76-nucleotide transfer RNA is filed under the name Elusimicrobiota bacterium. RNAcentral's name for it is "Elusimicrobia bacterium (hot springs metagenome) tRNA-Pro". It matches the Rfam family "tRNA". Rfam says of the family: Transfer RNA (tRNA) molecules are approximately 80 nucleotides in length. Their secondary structure includes four short double-helical elements and three loops (D, anti-codon, and T loops). The record is from RNAcentral. Lineage: Bacteria; Pseudomonadati; Elusimicrobiota.